GGCUCUUCCUCUGACGUAUGAAAUUGGCCCCCUUGUCGAUCAUCAAGCCUCCUCCACCCUGAAAGACAAGGUUGCCUCUGAGCAAACUGAUGCCGUGAUCAUGCCAAGCGGCAGUGGCGCCAAGGUGCCUAAGAGGAAAUGGGCAGGUGUGCUCUAUCAAAGACGACAUCGUUCUCACUCGCUUUCUUCUCUAAGCCGCCAUCGGAGCUCCCCCAGCACCGCGGAGGAAACUCCUGAAGCGGCACAAACCAAACAUUUCUCCCGCGACUUCCGCUCAAAGCGUAGGUCGUGUGGACACCAGUUCGUCCCCACCGGCCGUUGUCGUGACCACGCGAACUUUGCCCGCUCAUUCUCCUCCUUCACUGCCUGCCAUCUCGUCUGUGCCCGGAGCCGACAAGUUGGCCGAGGCAUGCUGCCUACUCGAAAUGGGCACCCGCGAGAUGCUCGCCAGGAUCGAACGACUUGGGAAAGUUGCUUCGUCCUCGGAUGGGUGCGUCGUGCAAUUGGAGAGCCAGCUCGCGGAGGCAUGCGAGGACCUUCAGAAGAUGAAGGACCUUGUCGCAGGCCACGAGCAACAACGACAGGGACUGGAGACACGGAUGGUGGAGACGAAGGGCAACGGGCAACCCCCGUCCCCAGCGGGCAACGGGCAGUCCCCUCUCGUACCUAGGUGAAUCCGG
This 680-nucleotide long non-coding RNA is filed under the name Oryza sativa Indica Group (long-grained rice). RNAcentral's name for it is "lncRNA OsZS97_08G011240". The record is from RNAcentral. Lineage: Eukaryota; Viridiplantae; Streptophyta; Magnoliopsida; Poales; Poaceae.